RNAcentral lists this ribosomal RNA (804 nucleotides) under marine sediment metagenome. RNAcentral's name for it is "LSU rRNA". It matches the Rfam family "Bacterial large subunit ribosomal RNA", at positions 1585 to 2364 of the family's 2925-position model. The record is from RNAcentral.
GCGAACUGAUCGAUCCUACACUGCCAAGAAAAGCCUCUAAACAAGAUAAUCCGGUAUCCGUACUAAAACCGACACAGGUAGGUAGGUAGAGAAUACCAAGGCGCUCGAGUUAACCCUCGUUAAGGAACUCGGCAAAAUGACUCCGUAACUUCGGGAGAAGGAGUACCCCGGUAGGGUGAUCCAAUUUACUUGGUCAGCCCGAGGGGGUUGCAAAGAAACGGCCCAAGCGACUGUUUACUAAAAACACAGGUCUCUGCUAAAUCGAAAGAUGAUGUAUAGGGACUGACGCCUGCCCGGUGCUGGAAGGUUAAGGAAGGGGGUUACUCCUCGCAAGAGGAGGAAGCUCUUGACCGAAGCCCCAGUAAACGGCGGCCGUAACUAUAACGGUCCUAAGGUAGCGAAAUUCCUUGUCGGGUAAGUUCCGACCCGCACGAAUGGCGUAACGAUUUGGGCACUGUCUCAACGAGGGACUCGGUGAAAUUGUAGUGUAAGUGAAGAUGCUUACUACCCGCGACAGGACGGAAAGACCCCGUGAACCUUUACUGUAGCCUGAUAUUGAAUUUUAGCAUAUUCUGUGUAGGAUAGGUGGUAGGCUGUGAAAGAGGGGCGUUAGCCUCUCCGGAGCCACCCUUGAAAUACCACCCUUGAUAUGUUUGGAUUCUAACCUUUCGCCGUUAUCCGGCAAAGGGACAGUGUUUGGUGGGCAGUUUGACUGGGGCGGUCACCUCCCAAAGAGUAACGGAGGUGUCCCAAGGUCUCCUCAGUGUGGUUGGAAAUCACACCAAAGAGUGUAAGGGCAUAAGG